RNAcentral lists this long non-coding RNA (247 nucleotides) under Lathyrus oleraceus (garden pea). RNAcentral's name for it is "Pisum sativum (pea) long non-coding RNA (PSAT_LNC042216)". Lineage: Eukaryota; Viridiplantae; Streptophyta; Magnoliopsida; Fabales; Fabaceae. The record is from RNAcentral.
UUGAACAUUACAAAUAUGGUUAUUAUGUUAUGAAAGUUAGAGUUAUGGGACUUAACAUCUUGGGUUACAUUUAUUAUGUUUAAAUUGAUUGAUAAUGAUUCUGCUGCGAUGAUACCCUAAGUGAAGGUGAGCAUGCGAUGACAGGUCUUAUGUGAUAUUUUGUAACCUGCGUUAGGGAGCAUGAUAUGUUUGAUAUGAGUGACACUCUAUGUGGUUAUGAUUUUUAUUAAGUUAUGCACUAAAAUUG